RNAcentral lists this ribosomal RNA (408 nucleotides) under uncultured bacterium. Its description in RNAcentral is "partial 16S ribosomal RNA". It matches the Rfam family "Bacterial small subunit ribosomal RNA", at positions 28 to 527 of the family's 1533-position model. The record is from RNAcentral.
GACGAACGCUGGCGGCGUGCUUAACACAUGCAAGUCGAACGGAUUGUCGAACGGGUGUUUAACACGUUGGUGACCUGCCCUGCACUUCGUGUUAACCCUUGGUAACUGGCUCUAAUACCCCUUCGUGUGGGAUGUGUCCGCGUCCUAUCAGCUUGUUGGUGGGGUAAUGGCCUACCAAGGCGGCGACGGGUAGCCGGCCGGAGAGGGUGGACGGCCACAUUGGGACUGAGACACGGCCCAGACUCCUACGGGAGGCAGCGGUGGGGAAUAUUGCACAAUGGGCGGAAGCCUGAGGCAGCGACGCCGCGUGGGGGAUGACGGCCUUCGGGUUGUAAACUCCUUUCACCAUCGACGCGGUAGAUGGAGAAGAAGCACCGGCUAACUACGUGCCAGCAGCCGCGGUAAUUG